Molecule: long non-coding RNA, 797 nt
Filed under: Homo sapiens (human)
Lineage: Eukaryota; Metazoa; Chordata; Mammalia; Primates; Hominidae
Description: HSALNT0202527
Source: RNAcentral
GCAAGCACCGCGCGCAGCCCCGGUUUCCGCUCGCGCCUCUCCCUCCACACCUGCCCACAAGCUGAGGGAGCCGGCUCCGGCCUUGGCCAGCCCGGAAAGGGGCUCCCACAGUGCAGCGGCAGGCUGAAGGGUUCCUCAAGUGCCGCCAAAGUGGGAGCCCAGGCAGAGGAGGCGCCAAGAGCGAGCGAGGGCUGUGAGGACUGCCAGCACGCUGUCACCUCUCAGUACCACCAAUAUCAUGAUUAUUGAAUGAGGUUGCCUUGAUAAUUCUGCUGAUCUUGCCUGGCUUUACUAAUGUGCCUGAGGUUGUCUAGAAGAUGAAAUGGAAUGGGUGGAUUUGGUGGAAUAGGUGGAUUCGGUGGAAUGGAUGGAUUCAGUGGAAUGGGUGGAAUAGGAAGACGAAGGCUGGAGUUGGAUAAUGAUCCUUCUAUUAUGAGCUUUGCAUUCAGCACCACUGACAAAUCAUAAAAGAGGGAAGAAACUACAGACGCACAAGAACAGAUGAAAAAAAGACUUGCAAACAGAAAAUCAACACCCACCAUGCUUCAAGGACCCUGGCUGCAAAAACAUUGUUCUUUCAUUUUAAUGGAGCUCUCCAUUUUCAAAUCUAUCUUGAGACAAGCAAAUUGCAUGCCUGUUUUGUCUGGUCUGCAUAAUAAGUAUCCCUGCACACAACUGUAUACAUACAGCUUAAAGGAGGGUUUUCUUGGUUCUUUUUUGUUUUGUUUCUUCUUUAAAUGCCCUAUUUUGAAACAUGACUUAGGAUAGUAUUUGUGUUUUUUUUCUCUUGAGUAAUC